AUCGCCUCUUGGCCGAGGCCUUGGGAGGCCACUGCUCCUCAGGUCUUUUGUGGGGAGGCCUGACAUUGAAACCGGAGCAAAACCCCCAGACGGCUGUGAGAGGAGGAGCCCGCGCCCUGCGCCACUUGAACGCUGCUCAUGUCGGGGGAACCAAACGCUCGUUAUCCGGAUGCAGAGACAACGGGCUCAGCAAGGAUGGGGCUGAUCUCUGUCGGGGAAGACACCGGCUGGGGCGCGACUGCCCACCAGGAGCUGCCCUCUGAUGGAGGUUUCAGCUCCAGGCCACCCUUUGUGGUGACUGGAGUUUGCCAGGCCCCCACGCAGGCCUUCUCCGUGUUUUUGAGAAAUGUCACCGGGGUCCUUUCUAAGCAUGAAAAUGGCAGGUGCGGUGUGCAUUGGAGCUGUUUUCUCCAGGACAUACCGCAGAAAGUGAGAGCAGAACGGCGGAGAGACGUGGACUUGUCUCUCCUACUGCACUCCCCGGCCUGGGCCCAGGCCGGUUCCUCAGCUCCUCUUGGG
This is a long non-coding RNA of Myotis davidii, 519 nucleotides long. RefSeq lists it as uncharacterized. The record is from RefSeq and is a predicted model, not a curated record. NCBI's taxonomy places the organism in Eukaryota, Metazoa, Chordata, Mammalia, Chiroptera, Vespertilionidae. The transcript is spliced from 4 exons.